GUCUACGGCUAUGCCACCCUGAACGUGCCCGAUCUCAUCUGAUCUCGGAAGCUAAGCUGGGUCGAGCCUGGUUAGUACUUGGAUGGGAGACCACCUAGGAAGACCAGGUGCUGUAGGCA
This 119-nucleotide ribosomal RNA is filed under the name Pteropus alecto (black flying fox). Lineage: Eukaryota; Metazoa; Chordata; Mammalia; Chiroptera; Pteropodidae. The record is from RNAcentral.